Molecule: ribosomal RNA, 279 nt
Filed under: uncultured bacterium
Lineage: Bacteria
Description: partial 16S ribosomal RNA
Rfam family: Bacterial small subunit ribosomal RNA
Source: RNAcentral
UGCCAGCAGCCGCGGUAAUAUGGACGGAGCGUGCGUUAAUCGAAAUUACUGGGCGUAAAGCGCGCGUAGGCGGCUUUGUAAGUCGGAUGUGAAAGCCCUGGGCUUAACCUGGGAAUGGCAUUCGAUACUGCAGAGCUAGAGUAUGGUAGAGGGAAGUGGAAUUUCCGGUGUAGCGGUGAAAUGCGUAGAUAUCGGAAGGAACAUCAGUGGCGAAGGCGACACUCUGGGUUGAUACUGACGCUGAGGUGCGAAGGCGUGGGGAGCAAACAGGAUUAGAUA